RNAcentral lists this long non-coding RNA (480 nucleotides) under Nicotiana tabacum (common tobacco). Its description in RNAcentral is "long non-coding RNA (NTAB_LNC019019)". The record is from RNAcentral. Lineage: Eukaryota; Viridiplantae; Streptophyta; Magnoliopsida; Solanales; Solanaceae.
AUAAAACAAAUUUUGAAGGAAAAUGGUUAAAAGAAAUCUUAGUUUGAUGAAUUUUUCACCUAAGAUAAAGAAAUCUUAGUCUGUUGAAUUUUUCACCUAAGAUAAAAAUCUUAGUCUGAUGAAUCUUUCACCUAAGAUAAAGGCAAAAGUUGGAAAAAUGAAAGGAAGGCAUUAUUUGGGAAAAGAUGAAGGCAGAAUUUGAGGAGAAAGAAAGGAAGGCAUAAUUUAAAGAAGGGGAAGGCAGAAGUCGAAAAAAAAAGGAAGGCAUAAUUUGGGAACAAGAAAGGAAGGCAGAAUUUGAAAAGAAAGGAAGUUGGAAUUUGGAAAAUUAAGAAAGUCGGGAUCACGCAAAAACGGACCUAGUCUGAUGAAUUAUCUCCUAGAGUCACAAUCUUAGUCUGUUGAAUCUUUCUCCUAAGAUGAAAAUCGUAGUCUGAUGAAUUUUUCACCUAAGAUAAAGAUAAAAAUCUUAGUCUGUUG